UGCAAGUCGAACGAGAAGUACGUAGCAAUACGUAUUGUAAAGUGGCGCACGGGUGAGUAACACGUGGGUAAUCUGCCCUUGAGUUUGGGAUAACCCCGCGAAAGCGGGGCUAAUACCGAAUAAGACCACGGGGACCAAAGUCCCUGAGGUAAAAGGUGGCCUCUAUUUAUAAGCUACCACUUGAGGAUGAGCCCGCGGCCCAUUAGCUAGUUGGCGGGGUAACGGCCCACCAAGGCAAUGAUGGGUAGCUGGUCUGAGAGGACGAUCAGCCACACUGGAACUGAGACACGGUCCAGACUCCUACGGGAGGCAGCAGUGGGGAAUAUUGCGCAAUGGGCGAAAGCCUGACGCAGCAACGCCGCGUGGGGGAUGAAGGUUCUCGGAUUGUAAACCCCUUUCGACCGGAACGAAUCUCCUCCUGGUAAAUAAUCAGGGGGAUCGACGGUACCGGGAGAAGAAGCCACGGCUAACUCUGUGCCAGCAGCCGCGGUAAGACAGAGGUGGCGAGCGUUGUUCGGAUUUAUUGGGCGUAAAGCGUACGCAGGCGGUUUGGUAAGUCAGAGGUGAAAGCUCGCAGCUUAACUGCGACACUGCCUUUGAUACUGCCUUUCUUGAGUAGAGUAGGGGGAAGCGGAAUUCCGAGUGUAGAGGUGA
Molecule: ribosomal RNA, 654 nt
Filed under: uncultured bacterium
Lineage: Bacteria
Description: bacterial SSU rRNA
Rfam family: Bacterial small subunit ribosomal RNA
Source: RNAcentral